CGAGCGGCGGACGGGUGAGUAAUGCAUAGGAAUCUGCCCGGUAGUGGGGGAUAACCUGGGGAAACCCAGGCUAAUACCGCAUACGUCCUACGGGAGAAAGCAGGGGAUCUUCCGACCUUGCGCUAUCGGAUGAGCCUAUGUCGGAUUAUCUAGUUGGUGAGGUAAUGGCUCACCAAGGCUGCGAUCCGUAUCUGGUCUGAGAGGAUGAUCAGCCACAUCGGGACUGAGACCCGGCCCGAACUCCUACGGGAGGCAGCAGUGGGGAAUAUUGGACAAUGGGCGAAAGCCUGAUCCAGCCAUGCCGCGUGUGUGAAGAAGGCCUUCGGGUUGUAAAGCACUUUCAGUGAGGAAGAAGGCCUUGAGGUUAAUACCCUCGAGGAAGGACAUCACUCACAGAAGAAGCACCGGCUAACUCCGUGCCAGCAGCCGCGGUAAUACGGAGGGUGCGAGCGUUAAUCGGAAUUACUGGGCGUAAAGCGCGCGUCGGCGGCUUGAUAAGCCGGUUGUGAAAGCCCCGGGCUCAACCUGGGAACGGCAUCCGGAACUGUCAGGCUAGAGUGCAGGAGAGGAAGGUAGAAUUCCCGGUGUAGCGGUGAAAUGCGUAGAGAUCGGGAGGAAUACCAGUGGCGAAGGCGGCCUUCUGGACUGACACUGACGCUGAGGUGCGAAAGCGUGGGUAGCAAACAGGAUUAGAUACCCUGGUAGUCCACGCCGUAAACGAUGUCGACUAGC
This 732-nucleotide ribosomal RNA is filed under the name Halomonas sp. RNAcentral's name for it is "bacterial SSU rRNA". It matches the Rfam family "Bacterial small subunit ribosomal RNA", at positions 92 to 820 of the family's 1533-position model. The record is from RNAcentral. Lineage: Bacteria; Pseudomonadati; Pseudomonadota; Gammaproteobacteria; Oceanospirillales; Halomonadaceae.